RNAcentral lists this ribosomal RNA (434 nucleotides) under Chaetoceros affinis. RNAcentral describes it as "partial Bacterial small subunit ribosomal RNA". It matches the Rfam family "Bacterial small subunit ribosomal RNA", at positions 1 to 444 of the family's 1533-position model. The record is from RNAcentral. Lineage: Eukaryota; Bacillariophyta; Thalassiosirophyceae; Chaetocerotales; Chaetocerotaceae.
UGAAGAGUUUGAUCAUGGCUCAGAUUGAACGCUGGCGGCAGGCCUAACACAUGCAAGUCGAACGCGAAAGCACUUCGGUGUGAGUAGAGUGGCGGACGGGUGAGUAACGCGUGGGAAUCUACCUAGUAGUGGAGGAUAACUCGGGGAAACUCGAGCUAAUACUGCAUACGCCCUACGGGGGAAAGCGGGGGAUCUUCGGACCUCGUGCUAUUGGAUGAGCCCGCGUUAGAUUAGCUUGUUGGUGAGGUAAUGGCUCACCAAGGCGACGAUCUAUAGCUGGUCUGAGAGGAUGAUCAGCCACAUUGGGACUGAGACACGGCCCAAACUCCUACGGGAGGCAGCAGUGGGGAAUAUUGCGCAAUGGGCGAAAGCCUGACGCAGCCAUGCCGCGUGUGUGAAGAAGGCCUUCGGGUUGUAAAGCACUUUCAAUAGGG